AUAGCGUGCUACAUGAGGGGCAAGACUUUUGCUAACACCAUAAUGGUGCCUGGCCCAAUGAGUAGAGUUUUAUAGUAAUUCUUGCUACAAGU
Panthera pardus (leopard) is the source of this 92-nucleotide small nucleolar RNA. Lineage: Eukaryota; Metazoa; Chordata; Mammalia; Carnivora; Felidae. The record is from Ensembl.